GAUGAAGAACGUAGCGAACUGCGAUAAGUAAUGUGAAUUGCAGAAUUCAGUGAAUCAUCGAGUCUUUGAACGCACAUUGCGCCCCCUGGCAUUCCGGGGGGCAUGCCUGUCCGAGCGUCAUUGCUGCCCUUCAAGCCCGGCUUGUGUGUUGGGUCGUCGUCCCCCCCGGGGGACGGGCCCGAAAGGCAGCGGCGGCACCGCGUCCGGUCCUCGAGCGUAUGGGGCUUUGUCACCCGCUCGAUUAGGGCCGGCCGGGCGCCAGCCGGCGUCUCCAACCUUCUAUUUUACCAGGUUGACCUCGGAUCAGGAAGGGAUACCCGCUGAACUUAAGCAUAUCAAUAAGCGGAGGA
Molecule: unclassified non-coding RNA, 350 nt
Filed under: soil metagenome
Description: partial contains 5.8S ribosomal RNA, internal transcribed spacer 2, and large subunit ribosomal RNA
Rfam family: 5.8S ribosomal RNA (bases 1-120)
Source: RNAcentral